AAAUUAAGAGUACAGCAGUCCGAAUAAAUCCUGUCACAAAAGCAAGAAAACCCACUAUAACUAACUUUGGGAAUCGAGGCUCCCCGAAACAGUUCUGGAGUUGGAGUUUUCAUCGGUACUCUGGGAACAGAGCCUGCCACCCGACACCCCAGCUGGAGCAGAAAACAGUGUGGUGCUUUCUCAAGAAGUUCAACAUGGAAUUACCACGUGACCCAGCAAUUCCACUCCUAGGAGUAGUUCUUAUGUAUUGUACAGCAUUCUGCAAAUGAAGAAAACACAGAAGGGCCACCUGGCUGGCUCAGUUGGUGGACUGUCAGUGCAACACCU
Lutra lutra (Eurasian river otter) is the source of this 327-nucleotide long non-coding RNA. RefSeq lists it as uncharacterized. The transcript is spliced from 4 exons. NCBI's taxonomy places the organism in Eukaryota, Metazoa, Chordata, Mammalia, Carnivora, Mustelidae. The record is from RefSeq and is a predicted model, not a curated record.